This 559-nucleotide ribosomal RNA is filed under the name uncultured bacterium. RNAcentral describes it as "bacterial SSU rRNA". It matches the Rfam family "Bacterial small subunit ribosomal RNA", at positions 338 to 916 of the family's 1533-position model. The record is from RNAcentral.
CCUACGGGAGGCAGCAGUGGGGAAUCUUGCACAAUGGAGGAAACUCUGAUGCAGCGAUGCCGCGUGAGUGAAGAAGGCCUUUGGGUUGUAAAGCUCUUUUGUAGGGGAAGAUAAUGACUGUACCCUAAGAAUAAGGUCCGGCUAACUUCGUGCCAGCAGCCGCGGUAAUACGAAGGGACCUAGCGUAGUUCGGAAUUACUGGGCGUAAAGCGCGCGUAGGCCGUUGAGUUAGUUAAUUGUGAAAUCCCAAAGCUUAACUUUGGAACUGCAAUUAAAACUGCUCGACUAGAGUUUGAUAGAGGAAAGCGGAAUACAUAGUGUAGAGGUGAAAUUCGUAGAUAUUAUGUAGAACACCAGUUGCGAAGGCGGCUUUCUGGAUCAACACUGACGCUGAGGCGCGAAAGUAUGGGUAGCAAAGAGGAUUAGAUACCCUCGUAGUCCAUACCAUAAACGAUGAUUGCUAGAUGUUGGAAAUUUAUUUUCAGUAUCGCAGCUAACGCAUUAAGCAAUCCGCCUGGGGAGUACGACCGCAAGGUUAAAACUCAAAUGAAAUUGACGG